Molecule: long non-coding RNA, 839 nt
Organism: Hipposideros armiger (great roundleaf bat)
Lineage: Eukaryota; Metazoa; Chordata; Mammalia; Chiroptera; Hipposideridae
Exons: 3
Source: RefSeq, a predicted model, not a curated record
GGAGACGGUGUCCAUCAGCACGAAGUCCGCCUUGCCGAACUCCAGGCUCUCCUGCUCCGCCAUGGUGCCGGCGUCCGGGCUCAGGGAAUCUAGAUGGGCUCCAUCUCGGUGGCUGAAUUUGAGAUGAGUAAACCACCCCAGGGACCCUGCUCAAGGACUGCUUCUGCUGCCAACAACCCACCCUGGCCAAGAGAGAGAAGAAGGCAUUUUGAUCGCCGCCCAAGGGAGCACCUCUGCCAUCGAAAAGCUGCCUCAACCCCCGGCAUCGGCAGAGCCACAGCCUGACUACCACUAGCAGCUCACCUUCUUCCAAAGACACCUCUCUGGAUCUCAGUGCCCUCAUUCGUGGAAUAAGACCUCGGGGCUAGAUCCUUUCCAAGCUAACUUCUGCUCCUGCCUUCGAUCUCAGCCUCAACAUCAUUUUCUCUAAGAAGCCUUCCCUGAUCCCCUAAGCCAGGCUUGGCCGUCCCUCCUCUGUGUUCCCACAGCAUCCUGGAAGUGUCAUCUCUGUGACAGCACUGAAUGCACUUGAGCCUGUUGACCACAUCUCUUAUUAGACUGUCAGGGCCAUGAGGGCUGGAAGCUGUGUCUGUUCUGUUCUUGGAUAUAACUCCGGCACCCAGUGGCACAGCGCCUAGGGUGUGAAGCUCUGAAGAAACACUCGCUCUAUACAUGAAUACGGAAUGGUCUGUGACUCAAUGGCUUUUGUCAUGUGAGGUUGUAAAUCCACCCCCCUUGGUGGAGUUUCUGCAUUAAAAUCAGUCUUUGUGUGGCAUGUAUCUCAUACUCAUCUCCUGUCCCUGGAAGCAGCUCUCAGGGCUGUGUUCACAUUUCCCCUG